GACGAACGCUGGCGGCGUGCCUAAUACAUGCAAGUAGAACGCUGAAGGAGGAGCUUGCUCUUCUGGAUGAGUUGCGAACGGGUGAGUAACGCGUAGGUAGCCUGCCUGGUAGCGGGGGAUAACUAUUAGAAACGAUAGCUAAUACCGCAUAACAGUAGAUGUUGCAUGACAUUUACUUAAAAGGUGCAAUUGCAUCACUACCAGAUGGACCUGCGUUGUAUUAGCUAGUUGGUGGGGUAACGGCUCACCAAGGCGACGAUACAUAGCCGACCUGAGAGGGUGAUCGGCCACACUGGGACUGAGACACGGCCCAGACUCCUACGGGAGGCAGCAGUAGGGAAUCUUCGGCAAUGGACGGAAGUCUGACCGAGCAACGCCGCGUGAGUGAAGAAGGUUUUCGGAUCGUAAAGCUCUGUUGUAAGAGAAGAACGAGUGUGAGAGUGGAAAGUUCACACUGUGACGGUAUCUUACCAGAAAGGGACGGCUAACUACGUG
Molecule: ribosomal RNA, 495 nt
Filed under: uncultured bacterium
Lineage: Bacteria
Description: partial 16S ribosomal RNA
Rfam family: Bacterial small subunit ribosomal RNA
Source: RNAcentral